Molecule: non-coding RNA, 797 nt
Filed under: Tenthredo tienmushana
Lineage: Eukaryota; Metazoa; Arthropoda; Insecta; Hymenoptera; Tenthredinidae
Source: RNAcentral
AAAAAGUUUGAUUUUGGCUUAAGAAUUUAUUUUAUAAAUUUUUUACAUGUAAAUUUUUGUAUGUUAAUUAAAUUAUUUAAAAAAUAAUUUAAUUUAAAAAUUUUAAUUGCAGUAUUUAAUUUUAAUAAUUAAAGAAAUUUAGAAUUAUAAUUUAUAUAAAUAUAAAUAAAAAAUGUGCCAGCAAUUGCGGUUAUACAUUUUAUAUAAGUAAAUUUUGUCUAUUAAAUUAAUUUAUUUUUGGAUAAUGGUUUUAAAUUAUAAUAAAUUAAGUGAAAUUUUUUAUUUUAAAAAUUAAUAUUAAAAAAAAUUAUUAAGAAAUUUUAAGAUUAAACUAGGAUUAGAUACCCUAUUAUUUUAUAAUUUAAAAUGUUAAUGUAAAGUAUUAUAAGUUAUGUUCUUUAAACUUAAAAAAAUUGGCGGUAUUUAAAUCUAAUUAGGGGAAUUUGUCUUUUAAAUGAUAAUCCUCAAGAUACCUUACUUUAUUAAAAAAUUUAUUUAUUGUCGUUAACAGAUUAUUUUAUAAGAAAAAAAAUUUUCUAAAUUAUUAAUUUAAAUAAUUAUUUCAGAUCUUUAUGUAGUUUAUGAUAAAGUUAAGAUGAAUUACAAUAAAAUUUAUUUAAAUGGAUAUUAUAAUGAAAUUUAUAAUUGAAAGUGGACUUAAUAGUAAUUUUAAAUAUUAAAUUAUUUUGAAUUAAGAAUUAAAUAUGUACAUAUCGCCCGUCACUCUCGUUAAUUAAAAUAAGAUGAGAUAAGUCGUAACAAAGUAGAUGUACUGGAAAGUGUUUCUAGAAAGUAUU